UACGAAGGGUCCGAGCGUUGUCCGGAAUUACUGGGCGUAAAGAGCUCGUAGGUGGUUUGUCGCGUUGUCCGUGAAAACUCACAGCUCAACUGUGGGCGUGCGGGCGAUACGGGCAGACUGGAGUACUGCAGGGGAGACUGGAAUUCCUGGUGUAGCGGUGGAAUGCGCAGAUAUCAGGAGGAACACCGGUGGCGAAGGCGGGUCUCUGGGCAGUAACUGACGCUGAGGAGCGAAAGCGUGGGGAGCGAACAGG
Molecule: ribosomal RNA, 253 nt
Filed under: uncultured bacterium
Lineage: Bacteria
Description: partial 16S ribosomal RNA
Rfam family: Bacterial small subunit ribosomal RNA
Source: RNAcentral